UGACGUCAGACGCAAAGCGCCGGGCCUACCGCUGGAGCGUGGGGAACAAGUCCAAUUCCGUUUGGAGGCAUCUUUGAGCUCGCCGAGUAGACAUCAUGAGCAAAGCUCACCCUCCCGAGUUGAAGAAAUUUAUGGACAAGAAGUUAUCAUUGAAAUUAAAUGGUGGCAGACAUGUCCAAGGAAUAUUGCGGGGAUUUGAUCCCUUUAUGAAUCUUGUGAUAGAUGAAUGUGUGGAGAUGGCAACUAGUGGACAACAGAACAAUAUUGGGAUGGUGCUCCAUUUUAGGUUUGUAUUCUUUAUUAGACAGUUGUGCCCUUUCAAGAGACUGAAAAAGCCUGAGCAACACUUUGCCAAAACUUAGUAUUGAAGCCCAACAAAAGGAGCAACAUGGAAUUCUGGACCUGAUGGUUCCAGUUUGAUUUGGAGAAUGGGGCCUCGAACACAGUGGGAAAAGAGGUAGAGCACUGCAAAGCAAAGGUGUUCACAAUGAACCUUAAUUCCUGUGGAUUAUGUGAGAAGGCAAAGAAGUAAUACGAGGAAAUAGUAUCAUCAUGUUAGAAGCCUUAGAACGAGUAUGAAAAAUGGCUGUGUUCACCAGAGAAAUCAACUGCUUCCACGGGUCCCUCCUCCAUAUUUUACUGCGAUAAAAAUUGGGUCGUA
Molecule: RNA transcript, 661 nt
Organism: Hippopotamus amphibius kiboko
Lineage: Eukaryota; Metazoa; Chordata; Mammalia; Artiodactyla; Hippopotamidae
Gene: SNRPG
Gene name: small nuclear ribonucleoprotein polypeptide G
Exons: 5
Source: RefSeq, a predicted model, not a curated record